CGAUGGGCUGCUAUUGAGGAGGAUGAUGCUGCAUUCUACCACUAUGAUAUUUUCUUGCUUCUGAGCUCCUGCUGACCAACAAAAUGACUGCAUCUCACCGAAUAUUGUCCCUUGGGUGGAGACCAGAGUAUCUGAGAAGGAGGAAAUUAGAGACUGGGACACAAACCAUUUUUGUAGACCAAAGGAGUUCCUUUCCCUAAACUUGGGUCCAUUGAUCACAAAUUUGGGAAUGGUUUUCAGUGGUCACUUUACUGGCCUGGUGUUGGUAAAGCCUUUAUGGUGAUCUUGUUGAUUGUUCUACUUGGUGAAAGUCAGUCACACAAACUGGGCAUGCUCAGUGGACUGGAAUGCCCACCAGGGGCAGUUGAAUGGAGUCCAACUGACAGCAGCAAAGCAAAGCCUUCUCUGCCUCCCUUCCUGUUCCCUACUUCCCCUCCGCCAUUCACUUGAUCUGGGUCUUGGCCUCACUCUAGGCUCAGGCUUUUUCUUUGAUUCCAUUCUCUUUUCUGGUUUUCAAAUCAUUUUUUAUCCACACCUCUUGUCUCUAAUGCUUUCAGCUUUACUAGUAUGGACCUAAAUCUGGUCCCAAUACUCUUGACCCUAAAUCUAUGUGACCACAGUUUUCAAUGUAUGCCCAGACUGGCUGUAUGUUAAUGGGGCAGGUGUUAGGGAAGGGGGUACUAGGAGUCUAUAGGUCUGGACGUGAAAGGGGCCAAGGGAAGGGCUUCAUGACAAUUCUCAUCUGAGGGUCUUCUCCAGUCAUCUUCCCUUCUUUGAGGACCUCACCAGGCUGAUGGUUAAGAACAUUUUGAGCUUCCCAAGUCAGCAUCACUAUUUCCCAGAUUGUGUCCGUUAACACAGUCUGGGUUUGAUGUCUCUGAAGCCCUAGGAGCAUGCUAAACACCAACAAAGUCAAUAGGAUGGCAUGUACUAACUAAUGAAGUAUUAUUUCUAGAUGUUUCUUUGCAAGGGAGUUCGAAUUCAGCUUGCUAAAGAACCAAGAAGUCUUCUCCUUCAAUCUAACUUGACAGGUGGAAAUGUAACUCCAAUUCCUGUAACUUCAUCUUUGCCAGAAGCAGAAGUCUGUCAACAGGGCACCUGGAUGGCUCAGUCAGUUGGGCAUCUGCCUUCAGCUCAGGUCAUGAUCCUGGGGUCCUGGGAUCCAGUCCUGCAUCAGGCUCCCUGCACAAUGUGUAGUCUGCUUCUCCCUCUGC
This is a long non-coding RNA of Canis lupus familiaris (dog), 1214 nucleotides long. RefSeq lists it as uncharacterized. The transcript has 4 exons. Lineage: Eukaryota; Metazoa; Chordata; Mammalia; Carnivora; Canidae. The record is from RefSeq and is a predicted model, not a curated record.